RNAcentral lists this ribosomal RNA (723 nucleotides) under Actinomycetes bacterium. RNAcentral's name for it is "bacterial SSU rRNA". It matches the Rfam family "Bacterial small subunit ribosomal RNA", at positions 146 to 881 of the family's 1533-position model. Lineage: Bacteria; Bacillati; Actinomycetota; Actinomycetes. The record is from RNAcentral.
AGCCCUGGAAACGGGGUCUAAUACCGGAUAUGACCGUCCAUCGCAUGGUGGAUGGUGUAAAGCUCCGGCGGUGCAGGAUGAGCCCGCGGCCUAUCAGCUAGUUGGUGAGGUAGUGGCUCACCAAGGCGACGACGGGUAGCCGGCCUGAGAGGGCGACCGGCCACACUGGGACUGAGACACGGCCCAGACUCCUACGGGAGGCAGCAGUGGGGAAUAUUGCACAAUGGGCGAAAGCCUGAUGCAGCGACGCCGCGUGAGGGAUGACGGCCUUCGGGUUGUAAACCUCUUUCAGCAGGGAAGAAGCGAAAGUGACGGUACCUGCAGAAGAAGCGCCGGCUAACUACGUGCCAGCAGCCGCGGUAAUACGUAGGGCGCAAGCGUUGUCCGGAAUUAUUGGGCGUAAAGAGCUCGUAGGCGGCUUGUCACGUCGGUUGUGAAAGCCCGGGGCUUAACCCCGGGUCUGCAGUCGAUACGGGCAGGCUAGAGUUCGGUAGGGGAGAUCGGAAUUCCUGGUGUAGCGGUGAAAUGCGCAGAUAUCAGGAGGAACACCGGUGGCGAAGGCGGAUCUCUGGGCCGAUACUGACGCUGAGGAGCGAAAGCGUGGGGAGCGAACAGGAUUAGAUACCCUGGUAGUCCACGCCGUAAACGGUGGGCACUAGGUGUGGGCAACAUUCCACGUUGUCCGUGCCGCAGCUAACGCAUUAAGUGCCCCGCCUGGGGAGU